RNAcentral lists this ribosomal RNA (429 nucleotides) under Bacteroidota bacterium. Its description in RNAcentral is "Bacteroidetes bacterium partial 16S ribosomal RNA". It matches the Rfam family "Bacterial small subunit ribosomal RNA", at positions 355 to 776 of the family's 1533-position model. Lineage: Bacteria; Pseudomonadati; Bacteroidota. The record is from RNAcentral.
UAGGGAAUCUUCGGCAAUGGGGGGAACCCUGACCGAGCAACGCCGCGUGAGUGAAGAAGGUUUUCGGAUCGUAAAGCUCUGUUGUUAAGGAAGAACGAGUGUGAGAAUGGAAAGUUCAUACUGUGACGGUACUUAACCAGAAAGGGACGGCUAACUACGUGCCAGCAGCCGCGGUAAUACGUAGGUCCCGAGCGUUGUCCGGAUUUAUUGGGCGUAAAGCGAGCGCAGGCGGUUAGAUAAGUCUGAAGUUAAAGGCAGUGGCUCAACCAUUGUAGGCUUUGGAAACUGUUUAACUUGAGUGCAGAAGGGGAGAGUGGAAUUCCAUGUGUAACGGUGAAAUGCGUAGAUAUAUGGAGGAACACCGGUGGCGAAGGCGACUCUCUGGUCUGUAACUGACGCUGAGGCUCGAAAGCGUGGGUAGCAAACAGG